Long non-coding RNA from Cyprinus carpio (common carp), 1759 nucleotides. RefSeq lists it as uncharacterized. The record is from RefSeq and is a predicted model, not a curated record. NCBI's taxonomy places the organism in Eukaryota, Metazoa, Chordata, Actinopteri, Cypriniformes, Cyprinidae.
UAAUUUUAAUGGGUAGAAACAGCUCUUUAAGGUAACAAUUGCAGUUUACCACAUUUUACAGUAGAGUCUCCUUUAAUCUAAAAAAAGCGAGCAGCUUGGUCAUUCAGCUAAUCUUCUCAUAGGGUUUUGGAACAAAAUGAUGACUCUUUAGGUUGAACUAUCCCUUUAAAAACAAGCACACAAAUGUACCCACCAGAAGGAGGUAGAGAGAGACCCCUCCCCCUCCCCCUGUCACCUCCCUCUUCUUUAACAAUGUCUGUAAACAAAGCAGAACCUAUGAAUGGAGGUGGAGAGUGAGUGAGGGAAUCGAAAAAGAGGGAAACGUAGCCACGCAUCUCUCAGGAGAAACACAGUCAGAGAUGAGAGAACUGAGAAGAGAAAGACAUGGACAAGAAGAGGAAGAGAGCUAAAUCGGAAAGAAAAAAAAAAGAACUCACAUCAUCUCUGUCAAAGCCUCUUUCGUUGGAUGUCGAUGUUGGUCCCUGCUGCCCUCCCCCUCCGUCUCCCUCUGCCUCCUUCGCUCUCUACGGCAUUGCUGGAUCCACAAUCUACUGCCUUAUUCUCUUUCUACAACUCUCACACUCUUUCUGUCCUCCAGCAUGGUAGACUACACCACACCGGUGUUCAUUCAGAGUAUGUGUGUGUUGAAGAGAGUGAGAGAGAGAGGAGAGGAGAAAGAGCAAGAGCGAGUAAAAGAGAGGGAGAAUCAGCAGGAAGAGAGGGGGUAAGGAAGUGUGGAUAGUGGCAGAAGGCAUAUUUGUGCCUGUACAGUACAGUAUGUAUUUGUACACGUGUUCCCAUAUCUGUAUCGAUGCCAGAAAACCUGCUGGCACGUUUUCAGUGAAAGACUGCGCAGCCGUGUUUGUGAGGACUCUUUCGGUGAACUUUUACCUGAAUAAACUGUACGUCCUUGACCCUAUUACACAGAUCACUGGCCUAUAAAGAGAUCACGUGUGCUGGGAAGGGAAAAAGAGACUGCUGCAGGGUGCUCAGGGACAGGGACGCUGGAAUUGUGACACAGUUGAGCUCGCACAGACCAAAGGAAGACAAGGAGCAGAGAAGGAUGAUGGAGACAGAGGAAGUUGCUAUUAAAAUGACUCUGCGAGGGAAGGACAAUGACGGAGGUGGUGAAGCGAUGGCAGAAAGGACACAGUGAUAUGUGGGGUUCUGGAAACGUGGAGCUGAGAUGAGAACAGAAGAGCUGAGAGGCUGGAGAAACAAUAGAGACAGCUUGAUGAACAGAAAGAAAGAAUGUUUUUAUAGCAUUUUAAUCUAGUGCCCUUCAUAGUCUGACCUCCAGAUGGAGUCACCACAGGGGUGGGAGGGUGAUGGAGAGAAUAUGAAAGAGUGCAGGGGGCUGCUGGGAUGAGAUGAGUGUGAGCUCUCUCUGUGACUGGGACAGAAUGACAUCACAUGAGGCAGUUUUAUGUUUACUGUGAGGUGCUAAUGAAAAGAGCACAGCAGUGUUAAUUUACCAGCACGCGACAGACUGAGAGAGAGUGAGUCAGAUUACAACAUUGCCACCAAAAACAGAUAUUACAGUCUUGCGCAAAGUGCUUCAUUUUAUGGGGCUGUCACUUAAAUUCAAAGGGGCUGGGACAAUAUUUUAAGCCCUACCCUUCUCCCUAAGGCCCAGUGAGUAGACUACACCAUAGAGGACCUCAGUAGCUCCCCACGUUUCCCCAAGCCCCUGAAAAUGGUCCUGGGUAGACAACACAUUUUAUGUGAACCAUCCUACAAAAGUAGAUUACAUGGAUGC